RNAcentral lists this ribosomal RNA (320 nucleotides) under uncultured eukaryote. RNAcentral describes it as "partial 18S ribosomal RNA". It matches the Rfam family "Eukaryotic small subunit ribosomal RNA", at positions 1470 to 1796 of the family's 1831-position model. The record is from RNAcentral.
CCCCUAGAUGUUCUGGGCCGCACGCGCGCUACACUGAACAUUUCAACAAGUCUUAACCUUGGCCGAUAGGUCUGGGUAAUCUUUGAACGCUGUUCGUGAUUGGGAUAGACCUUUGCAAUUAUGGGUCUUCAACGAGGAAUUCCUAGUAAACGCAAGUCAUCAGCUUGCAUUGAUUACGUCCCUGCCCUUUGUACACACCGCCCGUCGCACCUACCGAUUGAAUGGUCCGGUGAAAUCUCGGGACGGCGGCUUGGUCGCUUGCGUCCGACUGCUGAAACUUGAUUAAACCAUAUCAUUUAGAGGAAGGUGAAGUCGUAACA